Molecule: long non-coding RNA, 853 nt
Organism: Micropterus salmoides (largemouth bass)
Lineage: Eukaryota; Metazoa; Chordata; Actinopteri; Centrarchiformes; Centrarchidae
Exons: 3
Source: RefSeq, a predicted model, not a curated record
CCAACUUCGUACUGACUUGCUUUUUGAGUUAGUUUGUUCUUUUGGCUCCUGCCAAACUUGUAACUUUGUUUCUAUCUGUCACACCUGCACUUACCUUCGUUUUGUGAUUCCUGAGCAAGUCUCAAGCAAGUCCCAAGUUACAGUGAUGAAAGUCAUGUCAUUGCUUCGGUCAAGCAACUCACAAGUCAAGUCAUAUGAAAUUCUUAGGAAUUCACAGUUUAAGAAAGGUGGCAAUUCAACUGCAUAAUCAUUUUGGUGAUGUACUGAGUGUUUCUGUUCUAACUAUUUAGUUUAAUGAAAUUGGGUAGAAUAAUAGAGUAAUAGAAAUGUGUCAGUAACGGUAAGCUCUUACCAUUCCUGUAAAAUUCAUUUUAUUAGGACAAAUUUAUUGUCCUCCAACUGCGUAUAUCACGUAACUAUUUUGGUCCAGUCAUGACUGAGUGAUGCCUACAACUUCGACUACUUUAAUUAACCCAGGAUGGAAUUUAAGAAGAAUAAGGAACUUGGAAAUGGCUGUUGAGAAAACAACAAUUUCACCUCAGCUACAGACUUUGGCUCCUCUUCCUGGCUGUCUGUUAUGCAUUUGCUUGGUCUCUCGGCGUCCCCGUGUGUAUGUGUGGGAGGAUUCCCCUUCUCUGGGCCAUAUGUCCGUCUUCCUUCGCUGCCCGGUGCAGGAUCAGCCUCAUUCAUUCUCCCUGCUGUCCUGUCUCUCAGUGACAGUUGAAUUGCCUCCUAAUUGAGUUGCCUCUUAGUGAUAGUUCAGCUGCUCCUCAGUGUUGAUGGAUUUAAAACAUUUUUAGCUGGACUUGUGUUUGCCUUUUCCUUCUGAAUGUGCUACUCCUUUUUUUUUUUU